UACGUAGGGUGCAAGCGUUAAUCGGAAUUACUGGGCGUAAAGCGUGCGCAGGCGGUUCGGAAAGAAAGAUGUGAAAUCCCAGGGCUCAACCUUGGAACUGCAUUUUUAACUACCGGACUAGAGUAUGUCAGAGGGGGGUGGAAUUCCACGUGUAGCAGUGAAAUGCGUAGAUAUGUGGAGGAACACCGAUGGCGAAGGCAGCCCCCUGGGAUAAUACUGACGCUCAUGCACGAAAGCGUGGGGAGCAAACAGG
This 253-nucleotide ribosomal RNA is filed under the name uncultured bacterium. RNAcentral describes it as "partial 16S ribosomal RNA". It matches the Rfam family "Bacterial small subunit ribosomal RNA", at positions 524 to 776 of the family's 1533-position model. The record is from RNAcentral.